ACUCAAAGGAAUUGACGGGGGCCCGCACAAGCGGAGGAACAUGUGGUUUAAUUCGAUGAUACGCGAGGAACCUUACCCGGGCUCGAACGGCAGAGGAAUACUGUAGAGAUAUGGUAGUCAGCAAUGACUUCUGUCGAGGUGCUGCAUGGUUGUCGUCAGCUCGUGCCGUGAGGUGUCGGCUUAAGUGCCAUAACGAGCGCAACCCUUGUUGUUAGUUGCCAUCGGGUAAUGCCGGGGACUCUAACGAGACUGCCAGCGUAAGCUGUGAGGAAGGGGGGGAUGACGUCAAAUCAGCACGGCCCUUACGUCCGGGGCGACACACGUGUUACAAUGGCCGGUACAGAGGGCCGCUACCCAGCGAUGGGAUGCGAAUCUCUAAAACCGGUCUCAGUUCGGAUCGGAGUCUGCAACUCGACUCCGUGAAGUUGGAUUCGCUAGUAAUCGCGCAUCAGCCAUGGCGCGGUGAAUACGUUCCCGGGCCUUGUACACACCGCCCGU
RNAcentral lists this ribosomal RNA (498 nucleotides) under uncultured bacterium. Its description in RNAcentral is "bacterial SSU rRNA". It matches the Rfam family "Bacterial small subunit ribosomal RNA", at positions 899 to 1397 of the family's 1533-position model. The record is from RNAcentral.